AUAUAGCGACUUCUGGCGAGUUUUAGGACAGCCAAUAGCUACUUUCCUUGCUGAGGAGUUGGCAACAGUGUCCCCGGUACCCCGGUGGACGUGAGGAGCCUGUGUGUGUAGAGGAGGUGAAGGAGGAGGAGGGUUGUGUGACCAAAGUCUCAGCAACUGGGGUUGUGAAUAAGUUGUUUCUUCUUGGCCUGUUUCUUGUGGGACGACGACGACGACGGCGAGUGCAAAGUAGUUCGGGGCGUUUGCGGUCGAUGGACUGCUGCGGUGGAACAAGGGCCGCGCAGCAGCAGCAGCACUCUGAGAUGCAGCUGAGGGUCACAGUGGGUCUCUGCACUCCUACAGCGGCCACGUGAAGCACGUCCUUAACCAGCAGAGCCAAAGGGCGCUUGGCCUUCAGAUGGUUCAGGAUUUGGCUAAGCCCGCAGCGUACACAGGAUGAGGUCCAGAGCCCUGCCGCUCAGCCGGGGUGUGAGCGUGUCUGGAAGCUGGCCUGUGCCCCGGUGGACGCCAGGAGCCUUCAGGGGCUUUGUGAUAAGAGGGGAGACAGACUCAUCACUCUCUGGCAAUGCCUGCCAGAGAGGGGCAAACAGCGAGCGGUCUGCCCUCCCAGACGCCGGGAGAGGCAAGUGAGAGGGGGGUGGCCUUUUGCCUCAUUUGCCUUUGCUCUCUUUUGCGCCUCUCAAUGACAUGACACACUUUUACAAACUUUUGGAGCCAUAAUGGAAGGCAAAUUGCAAAAGACACAGGAGUGCGAGCUGUCGAGGCCGUGCUCCUAUGGAACCUUUACGUACACUUGCUGUUGCUUGGAGAUGCUGGCUCUCUCACCCCGAAGCCGAAGCUCGCUACUUGGCCUCCGCUCUCUGCCGCUACAAGCCUGGCAAGUGGCAAACAUCAAGAUGACUCUGUCCUGUAUUCCCGUGUAUCUCUGUCAUAAGUCUGUCCUAAUUUUCUGUAACGUAAGAGUGCUGAAUCACAGAAAACAAGGAUAUUUGGCACGAGCGGCUGUUUACGUGCACCUUAGAAAUGGAGAAAUCUUUGUGGACACAAGCAGCCAAUCACACAAAGCUCAAGUCACAGGCAAGUGUUUCUGUGUGGUGACCACUAGAGGGCAGACAUGCUCUCGCAGUAGCUGGAUUGAGUUGCACUGUGGCAGGUGCAUGAGAGCCAUCUGAUCGUCAGCGGAACCCACUUAAGUGGAACUGUGUGCUUCAUGGGAGCAGCAAGAGUUCAGCAAGAAGAGCAGAGUUACCUGUGAGCGCGUGCGUGUGUGUCCUCCAGCACCAGCAACCAGAAACACUUGUGCUGUAUUGUGUGCUUGGCUCUUUCGAUCGGCACUGCCGUUUGUUUGCCAUAACUUUGGAAAGAAAUACAUUGCCAGUAUGACAGUUGGUUUGAGGUAAAAAAAUUAAAAAGUGCAAUACUGUUCACUGGUGAUUGGGUUUUUGCUUUUAUGUAACAAAAAAUACAUGAUAAAAAAUGAAUUGAGUUGAACCGCUAAAUAACAUGUUCUUUCAAGAUCUUGGAUUUAAAAUUCAAUUAAAUCUAGUUUUUUUUUGUACAUCUUUCAUGUGACAGCAGCUUUUCGGGUUUUAACAGCUGGAAAAGACGUCACUGUUUGGAAUAUGGUCAGAAAAAUCAGAGACUUGUGAUUAUCCCCUAAAAGAUUUUGGAUUACUGACAAACAAUCAAAAAGCAUGUGUUGUGGUUUUAUGCCAUAAGAUGUGCAUAAUGUGUCACUUGUGCUUGUGAAUUUAAAUGUUAGUGUUCACAGUUCUCUGUGGUUUGCUGUUGGAGAGAACACCCACAGCAAAGUCACUGAUUAUCAGAUAGUCAGUCUGGAAGGAAUUUUAAUUCCACCAACAGCUUAGCAGCAGUUUUCAUGGAGAUUUGUGUCCAUUUAGCCUUUUAAAAUAUUUUUGCAAAGAGUCAAAGGGAACAUGUUUUAUUUAUGAUAGGCUGAUAUCAUUGGUUCUGCUGUUAUUGUGUAUAAAUCCUUAAAAAAAAUCCAUUUAUGUAUAUAUUUGUUUAAAAAGUAUUCUUU
Archocentrus centrarchus (flier cichlid) is the source of this 2041-nucleotide long non-coding RNA. RefSeq lists it as uncharacterized. The record is from RefSeq and is a predicted model, not a curated record. The transcript is spliced from 3 exons. NCBI's taxonomy places the organism in Eukaryota, Metazoa, Chordata, Actinopteri, Cichliformes, Cichlidae.